GAUAGCUCAAUGGUGGAGCAACCGGCUGUUAACCGGUAGGUUGCAGGUUCGAGUCCUGCUC
Molecule: transfer RNA, 61 nt
Filed under: Desulfitobacterium hafniense
Lineage: Bacteria; Bacillati; Bacillota; Clostridia; Eubacteriales; Desulfitobacteriaceae
Rfam family: tRNA
About the family: Transfer RNA (tRNA) molecules are approximately 80 nucleotides in length. Their secondary structure includes four short double-helical elements and three loops (D, anti-codon, and T loops). Further hydrogen bonds mediate the characteristic L-shaped molecular structure. tRNAs have two regions of fundamental functional importance: the anti-codon, which is responsible for specific mRNA codon recognition, and the 3' end, to which the tRNAs corresponding amino acid is attached (by aminoacyl-tRNA synthetases). tRNAs cope with the degeneracy of the genetic code in two manners: having more than one tRNA (with a specific anti-codon) for a particular amino acid; and 'wobble' base-pairing, i.e. permitting non-standard base-pairing at the 3rd anti-codon position.
Source: RNAcentral